GCGCUAGUAGCUCAAUUGGAUAGAGCGUCGGACUUCGGAUCCGAAGGUUGAAGGUUCGAGCCCUUCCUGGCGUGCCA
RNAcentral lists this transfer RNA (77 nucleotides) under Crocinitomicaceae bacterium. Its description in RNAcentral is "tRNA-Arg". It matches the Rfam family "tRNA". Rfam says of the family: Transfer RNA (tRNA) molecules are approximately 80 nucleotides in length. The record is from RNAcentral. Lineage: Bacteria; Pseudomonadati; Bacteroidota; Flavobacteriia; Flavobacteriales; Crocinitomicaceae.